This 200-nucleotide unclassified non-coding RNA is filed under the name uncultured Thelebolus. RNAcentral describes it as "sequence contains ITS2". Lineage: Eukaryota; Fungi; Ascomycota; Leotiomycetes; Thelebolales; Thelebolaceae. The record is from RNAcentral.
UUAAGUUCAGCGGGUAUCCCUACCUGAUCCGAGGUCAACCUGAAAAAUUGGGGUUAUUGGCAAGUAACCACCUGGAUCUCCAAAGCGAGAAGAAUUACUACGCUUGAAGCCAAGUGGCACCGCCACUGAUUUUAAGACCUGCCAGAAACUGGCAAUGUCCAAUACCAAGCAAAGCUUGAGGGUUGUAAUGACGCUCCGAA